This is a non-coding RNA of Heterocephalus glaber (naked mole-rat), 2097 nucleotides long. The record is from RefSeq and is a predicted model, not a curated record. Lineage: Eukaryota; Metazoa; Chordata; Mammalia; Rodentia; Bathyergidae.
CAGGAAGGAAGCCAGAUUGGGAAGGCUCCCAUCGGCCCCUCUAAAACCAGGAGACCAGGACUGAAACAGAAGGCCACGACCUCCAUUUCUUACCAAGGCCUGGGCCUUCGAGACAAACUCAGUUCCUUCAACAGCUAUCUUCUGAGUGCCUGACUGAGAGAGGAGCUGCUCUGGGGCCUGAGACUUUUCUUGCAGUCCCUGUCCUCUUAGCCCCUGCAACACGGGAGGGGAGACAGAUGAGGAAGUAAAUGCUGCUGGGAGACAGAGCAGCAAGGGAGGUCCUGCGAUAUUGGGGGGGCAGGGUGAGGAGUAGCAGAUUCUGGACAUUUUGAAGACAAAAUAAACAAGAUUUGCUGCGGCAUUUGGGUGAGUGCUGGGAGAAAGAGAAGCGUGGACAACAACCCCAGAGUUUCUUCCAGAGCCUGAGGGGAAGAUACAGUUCCCCUUUUCUGAGAGGAACAGGACGCAGGGCAAGAGAGAUUCAUGGGAGAGCUAAGAGGACAAACCCAGUCUCUCCGGACUGGACUGCCUUCUUUCCCCGGGUUGGAGAAGUUAAACACUGCGCUCAAAAGCUAAGGCGCCAGAGAGGAAAUACGGGUUAAAGCCCAGAAAGGGCCGGGCUGAACGUGUCCUCAGACUGGGAGGUGUCAGACUCCGAUCCUCUCAUUGCCCCCGCAAGUAUAUCCGGAGGAUUCCUCCAAUCGCUCUCUCCUGGAAGACCACUCCCAGCACCCUACUAGAUGGAGACAUUGAGGCUCCAGGAGAGGAAGCCACUGCCCCAGGAGCCUAGAUCUGUUGGUUCUUUGCCUCUGCAUCACCUAGUUUCAAAUGACCCAAGCCACCUCCUGCCUCCUGGCCCUUGGGCAUCUUCCCCUCCCCUGCUUCAGACCCUGGACCCUUCAGCCGCAGAGCCCAGGGGUCCCUGUCCCUGUCCCUGUCCUGGGACACCACGCUCAGAUACCCUGGGUGGCUAAAGGAAGCAGGGCUUGGGGCUUUCUGCAGGAACAGCCAUCACACCCCAGAGCUUUCCUAGAGUGGUCGUAGGCUGAGUAGUACCUCCUCCACACCCACCCAAACACACACACCCAAACAGGCUGCAGGGUGUGGUUUGAUAAAAGGAAGACAUGGCUCAAGGUUCCAGGCUCCUGCUGGUUUUUCAAGGCAAUGAGCUGCCCCUCCCUAUGAGUAUGCCAGCACAAGCUCAUGACCCUGUCCAGCCACAGUGCCCCAGGGGUCCCUGCAGCCACCUUGCUUCUUGCCCAGAACUCAAUUCCAGCCUUCGAGGGACUCAGAGAGCGGGGAUGUUUCUCAGGGAUCUCCCAGUGGAAAUGCUGUCAGCAGCGGCCAUCAGUGGAUGAGGCUCCCCUCCCCCGGGGCUUCCUACUUCAGACUCAGACUCCCAUGUGGCAGAGGAGGGGGGUCCCCUCCCCACUGCACAGUGAGCCACACCGGGCCAUGGACUUGAGGUUCAAGCCCCUUCCCACCCAUCCCCUGCUUGACUGACACCCUUCUGCCUGGAGCAUCAUGGGAAUUAAGGAGUAGGCCACUGCCCUGCCCCUCAGAGAAGAGAGGGGAUCCGAAGAGGAGCUAAGGGCUCCCCGAGGAAAGGUGGGGGAACUCCAUCUCCAAACUUGGCAUGGUCUCAGCGUUGUCGGAGGACUUUUGAGGGAAGGAGGAGGAGGAGAAGGACGACGACGACGACGACAACGACGACGACAACGCAGGGGCCCAGGUGCUCCUGCUGCCCCAAGGAGCCCGGCGGCAGGAGGCAUGGACGUGGGGGCUGUCGGGCUGGCCCGAGUGCUCUGGCGAGCAGGCCUCGGGGUGGGAAGACUUCUCGCUGCUGCCCCUGAGAGGGCCCCGUCUUGGUUCCCACCAGAAGACCCCCAAGGCCAGGCCUCAGGCCUCCCCUUCAAGACUGACAGUCUCCCAGGGCCUGUGACAGCCAAGCCCCACGACGCUGUGGCCUCUCAUUGCCCACAACUGCACCAAGAGUUCAGCUCUCAGAGGUGGCCAGGUGCCCCCUGCUAGGGGGCCCUCCCACGGCCCUAGUGCCCGGAACAGUCCCUUUCUCCAAAAUAAAUAUUUUUGUUAGAC